RNAcentral lists this ribosomal RNA (417 nucleotides) under uncultured bacterium. RNAcentral describes it as "bacterial SSU rRNA". It matches the Rfam family "Bacterial small subunit ribosomal RNA", at positions 64 to 524 of the family's 1533-position model. The record is from RNAcentral.
UAACGCUCGUACCAAUACAGAGAGUGGCAGACGGGUGAGUAACGCGUGGGAACAUACCCUCCGGUUCGGAAUAGCUCAGGGAAACUUGGAUUAAUACCGGAUACGGCUGAGAGGCGAAAGAUUUAUCGCCGGAGGAUUGGCCCGCGUUCGAUUAGCUAGUUGGUGAGGUAAUGGCUCACCAAGGCGAUGAUCGAUAGCUGGUCUGAGAGGAUGAUCAGCCACAUUGGGACUGAGACACGGCCCAAACUCCUACGGGAGGCAGCAGUGGGGAAUAUUGGACAAUGGGCGCAAGCCUGAUCCAGCCAUGCCGCGUGAGUGAUGACGGCCUUAGGGUUGUAAAGCUCUUUCGCUCGGGACGAUAAUGACGGUACCGAGAUAAGAAGCCCCGGCUAACUUCGUGCCAGCAGCCGCGGUAAU